UCCCAAAGUUAAAUUUUGACUUUUUAUCAGCAGGCUUUAAUAUUUGGAAAGAGCACAUUAGAGUCUCAUCCACACUCAUCAUGGCACCAGCAUUAUCAAAUUCCCCACAAUAAUUAGGCGCUGAAAAUAUAGUUACAAGUUGCCUGUUGGCAAAGAACUCAUAUCCAUCCUCCACAACCUGGUGAGCACGACAAAUGAGAUCCAAAUCAUGCUUCUCGAGAAACUCUGUCACUCUGUCAGGACCAAAGGUAUAUGAAACUCCCCUGUCAUUCAUUCCCCAACCUUGAACAUCUUUACUGGGAUCUGACCAGAGAAGAUCACAAAGCAAACCUGUGUCUGGUACAUCAGUGGGGCGUUG
Molecule: unclassified non-coding RNA, 358 nt
Filed under: Hevea brasiliensis (rubber tree)
Lineage: Eukaryota; Viridiplantae; Streptophyta; Magnoliopsida; Malpighiales; Euphorbiaceae
Source: RNAcentral